GGAGGUGGAUAGGUUCUGGUGUGCCUCCUGGACUUCAAAUCCAGUGGGGGGCGUGAAGAGCGUCCCUGGUGGGUUCGAUUCCCAUGCACCUCCGCCA
This 97-nucleotide transfer RNA is filed under the name Deltaproteobacteria bacterium. RNAcentral describes it as "tRNA-Sec". It matches the Rfam family "Selenocysteine transfer RNA". The record is from RNAcentral. RNAcentral also lists the same sequence under 1 other name. Lineage: Bacteria; Pseudomonadati; Myxococcota; Myxococcia.